This 2870-nucleotide long non-coding RNA is filed under the name Sus scrofa (pig). RNAcentral's name for it is "lncRNA (ENSSSCG00050076268.1)". Lineage: Eukaryota; Metazoa; Chordata; Mammalia; Artiodactyla; Suidae. The record is from RNAcentral.
CUCCAGAGUCCGGUGCACUCGCCUCCGCCUGUCCCUAAGUGGCCCGACUCGGCGGUCCAGGCACCCUGCCGCAGGGGAAUGGCCCGGGUGACCCCCCAGCCCCGCCUCCUGCAGGGCGCAAGGGGCCAGAGGGAAAAAUCUUUGCGGAGUUGAUGAAGUUGAAGUUUCGUAAAGGGCGUGAAGGAGACAGCCAAUCAGCGACUGCUCAUUUACAUGGGCUUUCUGAUUGGCUCUCACGGUGCCUCUUUAGAAUGUUACUUUGAAACCUUAAGAAAACGUUGAGCCAAGUCCCGCUGCCGAAAGGGAGGGAGCCGCUCAGACCCCUCAAGUUCCUGUAGGAACCCCCAGGCCAGCUCUGAUGGGAGGUGGGGAACUGAGAUAUGGUCUCGCCCAACCCUCAAGACACAGAACACCGCCUUGAGGCCAGAGGGUCAGAGAGAUGGAGAUUGGCCUGGACCCAGGCACUAGGUUCUGCCCAGCACCCUGCCAGGUGCCCAUCUCCUUACGGCUCUACGUGUAGUCAGGGGUCAUUUCAGACUGGAGGUCUCAAGAGGAGAGAGAAGGCCUGGCCUGGCUUGCAGGCACUUGCACGCAGGGAUUGCAGCCCCAUUUUACAGACGAGGAAACUGAGGCUCGGAGGAGGAAGAGGUUUGCUCAAGGCUGUAAAGUGGGCUCCUCCAAGCUCCUACGUGCAUCUUUCUCGCCCACAGACACACACUCACACACCCUGGGGAGCUGUUCCUCCGGGCGCUGUGCCUAGAUGGAGAUGAGAGGCCCCCAGCCGCCUGAGGACACUGGAGUGCACUGCUGGGACCGGUUCCAGGAAGCACCCUGGCCCAGGACCUGCGCGUAGUAGGUGCUCAGCUGCUGCCUGCCAAAUGAGGGCCCUGUGCAGGGGUAGGUAGCACACAGGAAGCCACUUAGAGGUUUCUAGACAUCCCGGAGCCUCGGCUUCCUCAACUGUAAGACAGAUGCUCAGUGUCCUCACCUCUUGGGUGGUUGGUAAAAAGCAACCGGAAAAACACACGUAAAGCAGUUCGCGUGGGUCUGGCCUCUGGAGGGGCCCCAUCACAGGUCAGACUGAUGCAUAUAGCUUUGCCACAACGAGUCCGCCACCAAGUCCGUGUACACGCAGCUCCCUCUGCCUAGGGCACCCCCGACUCUCCUCUGCUGACGCCACAUAUCUCUGCGUCUCCUCUUCAAGGCCGAGUGCAUCUGCCACUUCCUCCAGGACAACAGCCGUGGUCUCCUGCCACAUCCAGCACCCCCCUGGCACCCCGGUGGCUGGCCUCGCAUGCUGAGAGUGGGCCCAGCCUGCCUGGCUCAGGGCCUGCACACAGUAGGUGCUCCUGUGCUGCCUGCUGGUCUGACCGCCCUGUACCAGGUCAGCACACAGCAACCAGCAGUUAGGGCGCUUCUGCAGUUAAAAUAAACCCCUGAGGUCAUGGUCUGUUCUCUCUGCAAAAACAAAAAUAUCCAACUGCUUGUGUCUGGUGAGACCCACAGCAAGAGCAGGCGUGACGGCUUCACCACCCAGAGGCCAAGCAUCCGGCUCCCAGCCAGGUCCCCAUCUGAAAGGGCACCUGCCCAGGCCCGGGGUGACACUUAGAGGCAGUUGGCAUGGGACGAGUGUGCCCCAUGAGAAAGGUGGGCGCUCUGCUCCCCGGAGCCUUGAGCUCUGAGGAGCCUGCAAAGCAUUCUCCAUAUUUGAUUCACGAUAAAAAACACAGUAAACCAUAGACCCAAAACUUGUAUGUUGGCUGAAAUUAAAAUAGCUUCUUGCUCCGUUUUCUGGUUUCAAUAUUCUGGAUCAGCUCAUGGAAGCUGAAUCAGGCAAGGUGUCUGUCCCUCUUGUUUGUGUCUCUUGCUGCCCCUGCUUGGCUGGGCAAGCAGCACAUGCUUGGUGGCCCCUCUGGAGCAGACCCUGGCUGGGUCUGGGAGGUGGGGGACCCCCUGGCCCUGCGCUCCUGAGGCUGAUCCCCUCACUCCUGGGCCUUCCAGCACCCCCCGGCCCCCCCUCUUCCGGGGAACCUUGCGGCUGGGCCCGUGCCUGCGGCGAGUCUCACCCCAGUAUUAUUUUAGUCGCAGACAGACACGAGGCAGAUGGUGACAACAUCCCUUCCCCGCUCCCCACUGACGAGCUGUUGCCGCCCUGAAGCCUCAGGGUUCUUCUCCCUCAGGAAUAUUUCAAUCCGGACUCGGUGGCUAAAUGCGGCUGCUCUUGUGAGACGCGGACACAUCUGCUCUUCCUCCUCCCCACCCCCACCCAUUUCCUGGGCUGAGCAGAGAGCCCCGGGGCGGCCUGCCCACCUCCGUUCUGCCCCAUCCCCUGAGCCGCCCUCGUGGACCAGGCCCCACGCCCUGCGCACUGUACCAUGGGGGGUGGGCAGGGGGCAAUUAUCGUGCCCACCUUACCGAGGAGGAAGCCGAGGCUCCGAGUGAAACAGGGCCCCAUCCCAGCUCACAGAGCCAGACCAGCAGCGUUCCCGGGGGUCCAACUGCGCCCUGGAGAUGGAAGGUACCUUCCCUCCCCUCACCUGCAUGUCCACCUGGCCACCUCUAUGCACAGCCUUUGGGGACCACCCCAGGCACCCCGCCUUCCCUGCACAGCAACCAGGAGCUCACUAUUGAGUUGCUGUAUCCACUCCCCUCAUCAGCCAUCACCCAGGGGGGCACAAGGCUAGCCAAGCUUCCCGUGCCCACCCCCUUGCCCUGCUGGUCCCGUAGCUGAGUGAGCACGUAGGGCAAGGGCAGCGUGGCUCUGGCGUGAGACAGGCCUGGUUUCGAAUCCCAGCUUUGCCAAGCCUUUGGGCAAAUCCAUGAACCCCUCAGGACCUGGGUCUUCUACUGUGAAACAUACGGCUGGCCCC